CUCCUUGACGCACAUUCUUUCCUCCAACCCACCAAUAAGUGUGUGGCAAGGGUUAAAUGAGAUAACCCGUGUAAAGUAUCUAGAACAGUCUGAAACAUGAAAAAAUUUGCCAACCCCUGCUCUGAACGGUACCCUACAAGCCGGGGACAGCCCUGCAGAGACUCGAAUCCUGGCAAAGCUCCUUUGGGAUCUCCCAAACACCUAGCAGCCGUCUGAGCAUCUCAAGUUGGCCCACAGACACCUGGAACUCAGCGAGGCCCGUACCUUCCCACGCUUGCUCUUUCCCGGUAUCCCCGUCAACCCCCAUCUUGCUCAAGCCAGAGUUUUGGAGUUAUUCUUGAAUCCUCUGCCGGCUCCCCUAUCCCAUUAAUCAUCUCUUUUGUAUCUUCAUUCUCCACACACCUCCUGCCACCACCCUGGCUGAAGUCAUCAGCAUUUCCUGCAGGGUGACCCGACCAGUGUCCUCAGUGGGGAUCCUGCCGCCUACUCUUCGACCCUCUAAUCCAUCCCCCACCAGGUGGCCAGGGCAGCCUUCCCAGAAUACGAAUCUGAUCUUAUCAUUUCCCACCUUCUAUCCCUUCCAUCGUAGAGAACCAGACCAUUGGUCUAUCCAUGAUCUUUUCCAGGCACGGCCCCAUCCUUCCUCUGGGCUCUUUCUGUGUGCAUAGGAUGGGAAGGUCAAUCCUAGCAUCUGGCUGAGAGCUCUUGGAGCGUCC
This 716-nucleotide long non-coding RNA is filed under the name Equus caballus (horse). RNAcentral describes it as "lncRNA (ENSECAG00000057795.1)". The record is from RNAcentral. Lineage: Eukaryota; Metazoa; Chordata; Mammalia; Perissodactyla; Equidae.